This 450-nucleotide ribosomal RNA is filed under the name uncultured bacterium. RNAcentral describes it as "partial 16S ribosomal RNA". It matches the Rfam family "Bacterial small subunit ribosomal RNA", at positions 29 to 523 of the family's 1533-position model. The record is from RNAcentral.
AACGAACGCUGGCGGCAUGCCUAACACAUGCAAGUCGAACGAAGGCUUCGGCCUUAGUGGCGCACGGGUGCGUAACGCGUGGGAAUCUGCCCCUUGGUUCGGAAUAACAGUUGGAAACGACUGCUAAUACCGGAUGAUGACGUUAAGUCCAAAGAUUUAUCGCCGAGGGAUGAGCCCGCGUAGGAUUAGCUAGUUGGUGUGGUAAGAGCGCACCAAGGCAACGAUCCUUAGCUGGUCUGAGAGGAUGAUCAGCCACACUGGGACUGAGACACGGCCCAGACUCCUACGGGAGGCAGCAGUGGGGAAUAUUGGACAAUGGGCGAAAGCCUGAUCCAGCAAUGCCGCGUGAGUGAUGAAGGCCUUAGGGUUGUAAAGCUCUUUUACCCGGGAUGAUAAUGACAGUACCGGGAGAAUAAGCUCCGGCUAACUCCGUGCCAGCCGCCGCCGUAA